This is a long non-coding RNA of Aegilops tauschii subsp. strangulata, 1059 nucleotides long. RefSeq lists it as uncharacterized. NCBI's taxonomy places the organism in Eukaryota, Viridiplantae, Streptophyta, Magnoliopsida, Poales, Poaceae. The record is from RefSeq and is a predicted model, not a curated record.
UUUCUUAUCCAAAUUAUUUAUUCACCUAACAUGAACUUGAGUAAUUAAUUUAGUUUGACCUCGACAAAAUAUUGUUUUACUGGAAGUCUUGGAAAUUUGUCUUGAAAGUAACCAAGAGGUUGUAGGUUUUUUUUUAUUGCAGUGAGAGCUGAUGUUCAUGGAUUUUGUGUUGAAUGUUUUGGAUUUCGAGGUGAUGAGCCUGCGUGAUUUGUAGGAUUCCGAAAAUUCAAAAUAACUAUGUAUAAUUGUAAUGUCAAAGACACUUUUCCCCGCGAAUAUCAAUGAAUGUAUUUCGAAAACAUGUCUUUACAUCAGCUUUUGUUUCUUUGACUUUGUGUGUGGUUGAGCUUAGAAGAUAACUCGGGGAACAAGCAAAAGACAACAGCGAACAAGGAGCCAAAACUUCAAAAGGGGUAGGAGCAUUCUCCAUUUUGUAAUAUUUCUAAUGCACACAUGUUUGUCUCUGUGUGCACUUUUGUCGAAACUCUGAUAAAACCAGAAACCUUUGGGCCACUUCACACCAUCUCCUUGCUUGUUCUUUCCGGCAAGCUUCUUCUUGCUUUCUCUGCCGUCUCAAUUGCCAUUAGGUCACGUCGAUCUUGAUAUAGAUCAUGAGCCAAAGGGCGUGCACGCGUGCGUGCGCAUCACCACUACUGGUAGCAUCAACAUUGGUUUAUUUUUAUGUCGUUGCACGCCCUUGUUCCGAUAGCGGGGAUGUAAGUCAUGGCGGAACUUCCAUCAGUGCGACUAGAGGUAGCCUACAACUCACCUCAGUCGUGGGAGUGGUGAAGUGGGCAGCCUUGUAGGCGGGUGUGUUUCCUACGGCGGUGAUUCGUGCAUCGGCUCAACGAGGCUUGAGAGAGAAAAGGGGCUUAAUCCAACAUAAGAGGAUUGAUGGAUGGUGGCGGCCAUAUCCAGCACGCAGCCCCACAAUGACACAAGACAUAUUAUUCGCUCAAGUUAUUUGUCUUCCAAGUGAUACAAGUGAAAUGAUCUAGAUGACGACUAGAGGGGGUGCUACCUCUUGAGCAUGCGUUGGUUUUCCGUUGAAGAGGAAAG